This 801-nucleotide ribosomal RNA is filed under the name uncultured Pelagibacteraceae bacterium. RNAcentral describes it as "bacterial SSU rRNA". It matches the Rfam family "Bacterial small subunit ribosomal RNA", at positions 34 to 883 of the family's 1533-position model. The record is from RNAcentral. Lineage: Bacteria; Pseudomonadati; Pseudomonadota; Alphaproteobacteria; Candidatus Pelagibacterales; Candidatus Pelagibacteraceae.
CGCUGGCGGCACGCCUAACACAUGCAAGUCGAACGAAGUAGCAAUACUUAGUGGCAGACGGGUGAGUAACAUGUAGGUAUCUGCCCUUUGGCCUGGAAUAACACGAGGAAACUUGUGCUAAUACCGGAUAAGUCUUUACGGAGAAAGCUUUAUGCACCAUUGGAUGAGCCUGCACUUGAUUAGUUUGUUGGUGGGGUAAUGGCCUACCAAGACUGUGAUCAAUAGCUGAUUUGAGAGGAUGAUCAGCCACAUUGGGACUGAGACACGGCCCAAACUCCUACGGGAGGCAGCAGUGGGGAAUCUUGCACAAUGGAGGAAACUCUGAUGCAGCGAUGCCGCGUGAGUGAAGAAGGCCUUUGGGUUGUAAAGCUCUUUCGUCGGGGAAGAAAAUGACUGUACCCGAAUAAGAAGGUCCGGCUAACUUCGUGCCAGCAGCCGCGGUAAUACGAAGGGACCUAGCGUAGUUCGGAAUUACUGGGCUUAAAGAGUUCGUAGGUGGUUGAAAAAGUUGGUGGUGAAAUCCCAGAGCUUAACUCUGGAACUGCCAUCAAAACUUUUCAGCUAGAGUAUGAUAGAGGAAAGCAGAAUUUCUAGUGUAGAGGUGAAAUUCGUAGAUAUUAGAAAGAAUACCAAUUGCGAAGGCAGCUUUCUGGAUCAUUACUGACACUGAGGAACGAAAGCAUGGGUAGCGAAGAGGAUUAGAUACCCUCGUAGUCCAUGCCGUAAACGAUGUGUGUUAGACGUUGGAAAUUUAUUUUCAGUGUCGCAGCGAAAGCGAUAAACACACCGCCUGGGGAGUAC